RNAcentral lists this ribosomal RNA (814 nucleotides) under uncultured archaeon. RNAcentral's name for it is "bacterial SSU rRNA". It matches the Rfam family "Archaeal small subunit ribosomal RNA", at positions 524 to 1342 of the family's 1478-position model. The record is from RNAcentral.
GCCCGUUUGGUACUUCGUGGGUAAUCACCAGCUCAACUGGUUGAAUUCUGCGAGCACGGCCAGACUUGGGACCGGGAGAGGUGUGGGGUACGCUCAGGGUAGGGGUAAAAUCCUGUCAUCCUGAGCGGACCACCUGUUGCGAAGGCGCCACACUAGAACGGAUCCGACGGUCAGGGACGAAGCCUAGGGGCACGAACCGGAUUAGAUACCCGGGUAGUCCUAGGUGUAAACGCUGUGGACUUGGUGUUGGGGACUCUCCGAGAUUCCUCAGUGCCGAAGCGAAGGUGAUAAGUCCACUGCCUGGGGAGUACGGUCGCAAGGCUGAAACUUAAAGGAAUUGGCGGGGGAGCACCGCAACCUGAGGAUUGUGCGGUUUAAUUGGAUUCAACGCCGGAAAACUCACCAGUGCCGACGGACAAAUGAAAGCCAGUGUAAUGAGCUUGCUGGAUUGUUCGAGAGGUAGUGCAUGGCCGCCGUCAGUUCGUACCGUAAGGCGUUCUGUUAAGUCAGAUAACGAACGAGACCCUCAUCCCUAUUUGCUAAGGUCAGUCCGCUGAUCACAGGACUAUAGGGAGACCGCUGGCGCGAAGUCAGAGGAAGGCGAGGGCAACGGUAGGUCAGUAUGCUCCGAAUGCACUGGGCUACACGCGCAAUACAAAGGACGGGACAAUGGGCCGCUGCGCCGAGAGGCAUGUGGCUAUCCCGAAACCCGUUCGUAGUUCGGAUUAAGGGCUGUAACUCGCCCUCAUGAAGCUGGAUUAGGUAGUAAUCGCGUCUCAAAAAGGCGCGGUGAAUAUGUCCCUGCUCCUUGCAC